This 81-nucleotide antisense RNA is filed under the name Citrobacter braakii. Its description in RNAcentral is "antisense RNA of dnaA mRNA". It matches the Rfam family "antisense RNA of dnaA mRNA". The record is from RNAcentral. Lineage: Bacteria; Pseudomonadati; Pseudomonadota; Gammaproteobacteria; Enterobacterales; Enterobacteriaceae.
UUUCGCGUUUGGCUUACGCGCCAUAAUACCGUUACCGACAGCGUGCAACAGGUGGGUUUUACCCAGACCCGUACCGCCAUA